RNAcentral lists this ribosomal RNA (185 nucleotides) under Coprinopsis sp. 5 LGN-2012. RNAcentral describes it as "5.8S RNA". The stretch from base 8 to 161 matches the Rfam family "5.8S ribosomal RNA". Rfam says of the family: 5.8S ribosomal RNA (5.8S rRNA) is a component of the large subunit of the eukaryotic ribosome. It is transcribed by RNA polymerase I as part of the 45S precursor that also contains 18S and 28S rRNA. The record is from RNAcentral. Lineage: Eukaryota; Fungi; Basidiomycota; Agaricomycetes; Agaricales; Psathyrellaceae.
AUUAUACAACUUUCAGCAACGGAUCUCUUGGCUCUCGCAUCGAUGAAGAACGCAGCGAAAUGCGAUAAGUAAUGUGAAUUGCAGAAUUCAGUGAAUCAUCGAAUCUUUGAACGCACCUUGCGCUCCUUGGUAUUCCGAGGAGCAUGCCUGUUUGAGUGUCAUUAAAUUCUCAACCUCAUCAAUUU